AUUUAAGUCAGCUAAUUAAGCUAAUGAGUUCAUAUCUCAUAAAUGAAAGAAAUAUUGAUUC
RNAcentral lists this transfer RNA (61 nucleotides) under Corythalia opima. RNAcentral's name for it is "tRNA-Met". The record is from RNAcentral. Lineage: Eukaryota; Metazoa; Arthropoda; Arachnida; Araneae; Salticidae.